Molecule: ribosomal RNA, 446 nt
Filed under: uncultured bacterium
Lineage: Bacteria
Description: partial 16S ribosomal RNA
Rfam family: Bacterial small subunit ribosomal RNA
Source: RNAcentral
CCUACGGGAGACAGCAGUCGAGAAUCAUUCACAAUGGGGGAAACCCUGAUGGUGCGACGCCGCGUGGGGGAAUGAAGGUCUUCGGAUUGUAAACCCCUGUCAUGUGGGAGCAAAUUAAAAAGAUAGUACCACAAGAGGAAGAGACGGCUAACUCUGUGCCAGCAGCCGCGGUAAUACAGAGGUCUCAAGCGUUGUUCGGAAUCACUGGGCGUAAAGCGUGCGUAGGCUGUUUCGUAAGUCGUGUGUGAAAGGCGCGGGCUCAACCCGCGGACGGCACAUGAUACUGCGAGACUAGAGUAAGGGAGGGGGAACCGGAAUUCUCGGUGUAGCAGUGAAAUGCGUAGAUAUCGAGAGGAACACUCGUGGCGAAGGCGGGUUCCUGGACAUUAACUGACGCUGAGGCACGAAGGCCAGGGGAGCGAAAGGGAUUAGAUACCCUGGUAGUC